UACGUAGGGUGCGAGCGUUGUCCGGAAUUAUUGGGCGUAAAGGGCGCGUAGGCGGCCAUCUAAGUCAGACGUGAAAUCCCCCGGCUUAACCUGGGAACUGCGUCUGAUACUGGACGGCUUGAGUAUGGGAGAGGGAUGUAGAAUUCCAGGUGUAGCGGUGAAAUGCGUAGAUAUCAGGAGGAACACCGGUGGCGAAGGCGGGUCUCUGGGCCGAUACUGACGCUGAGGAGCGAAAGCGUGGGGAGCGAACAGG
Molecule: ribosomal RNA, 253 nt
Filed under: uncultured bacterium
Lineage: Bacteria
Description: partial 16S ribosomal RNA
Rfam family: Bacterial small subunit ribosomal RNA
Source: RNAcentral